GACCCGUCUUGAAACACGGACCAAGAAGUCUACAUGUGUGCAAGUCAUGGGAUUUAAUAAACUAAGGCGAAAUUAACUUACUAAAAUUAAAUGGAUUAUUANGUAUAUAAUUAAUAUAUAGAAUUCAUCNUGGGGCGUUCAUUUAAUUAAUAUUAUUUAAUGCAAUUUAUGGUAUAUAUUUAAUUAUUAAUUAGAGCGUACCUUGAGCAUACAUGUUGUGACCCGAAAGAUGGUGAACUAUACCUGAUCAGGUUGAAGUCAGGGGAAACCCUGAUGGAAGACCGAAACAAUUCUGACGUGCAAAUCGAUUGUCAGAAUUGGGUAUAGGGGCGAAAGACCAAUCGAACCAUCUAGUAGCUGGUUCCCUCCGAAGUUUCCCUCAGGAUAGCUGGUGCAUUUAAAUAUAAUAAAAUAAUCUUAUCUGGUAAAGCGAAUGAUUAGAGGCCUUAGGGCCGAAACGACCUUAACCUAUUCUCAAACUUUAAAUGGGUAAGAACCUUGCCUUACUUGAUAUGAAGGUACAGGUUAUGAUAUAUUGUGCCCAGUGGGCCACUUUUGGUAAGCAGAACUGGCGCUGUGGGAUGAACCAAACGUGAUGUUACGGCGCCUAAAUUAACAACUCAUACAGAUACCAUGAAAGGCGUUGCUUGCUUAAAACAGCAGGACGGUGGACAUGGAAGUCGUAAUCCGCUAAGGAGUGUGU
Molecule: ribosomal RNA, 703 nt
Filed under: Tabanidae environmental sample
Lineage: Eukaryota; Metazoa; Arthropoda; Insecta; Diptera; Tabanidae
Description: LSU rRNA
Rfam family: Eukaryotic large subunit ribosomal RNA
Source: RNAcentral